ACAGACAGCCAGGAUGUUGGCUUAGAAGCAGCCAUCAUUUAAAGAAAGCGUAAUAGCUCACUGGUCGAGUCGGCCUGCGCGGAAGAUGUAACGGGGCUAAACCAUGCACCGAAGCUGCGGCAGCGACACUUAUGUGUUGUUGGGUAGGGGAGCGUUCUGUAAGCCGUUGAAGGUGUGCUGUGAGGCAUGCUGGAGGUAUCAGAAGUGCGAAUGCUGACAUAAGUAACGAUAAAGCGGGUGAAAAGCCCGCUCGCCGG
This 257-nucleotide ribosomal RNA is filed under the name Enterobacter cloacae. Its description in RNAcentral is "partial 23S ribosomal RNA". It matches the Rfam family "Bacterial large subunit ribosomal RNA", at positions 1085 to 1340 of the family's 2925-position model. The record is from RNAcentral. Lineage: Bacteria; Pseudomonadati; Pseudomonadota; Gammaproteobacteria; Enterobacterales; Enterobacteriaceae. RNAcentral also lists the same sequence under 1 other name.